This 253-nucleotide ribosomal RNA is filed under the name Leuconostoc gelidum subsp. gelidum KCTC 3527. Its description in RNAcentral is "partial 16S ribosomal RNA". It matches the Rfam family "Bacterial small subunit ribosomal RNA", at positions 524 to 776 of the family's 1533-position model. The record is from RNAcentral. Lineage: Bacteria; Bacillati; Bacillota; Bacilli; Lactobacillales; Lactobacillaceae.
UACGUAUGUCCCGAGCGUUAUCCGGAUUUAUUGGGCGUAAAGCGAGCGCAGACGGUUGGUUAAGUCUGAUGUGAAAGCCCGGAGCUCAACUCCGGAAAGGCAUUGGAAACUGGUCAACUUGAGUGCAGUAGAGGUAAGUGGAACUCCAUGUGUAGCGGUGGAAUGCGUAGAUAUAUGGAAGAACACCAGCGGCGAAGGCGGCUUACUGGACUGUAACUGACGUUGAGGCUCGAAAGUGUGGGUAGCAAACAGG